CUACGGGUCGCUGCAGUGGGGAAUAUUGGACAAUGGGGGAAACCCUGAUCCAGCAAUGCCGCGUGUGUGAAGAAGGCCUGCGGGUUGUAAAGCACUUUCGGUUGGGAGGACUGCUUCUAGCACUAAUAUUGUUGGAAGUUGACGUUACCUUCAGAAGAAGCACCGGCUAACUCCGUGCCAGCACCCGCGGUAAUACGGAGGGUGCAAGCGUUAAUCGGAAGUACUGGGCGUAAAGCGCGCGUAGGCGGCUAGAUCAGUCGGGUGUGAAAGCCCCGGGCUUAACCUGGGAACUGCAUCCGAUACUGGCUAGCUUGAGUACAGGAGAGGAGAGUGGAAUUCCACAUGUAGCGGUGAAAUGCGUAGAUAUGUGGAGGAACACCAAUGGCGAAGGCAGCUCUCUGGCCUGAUACUGACGCUGAGGUGCGAAAGCGUGGGGAGCAAACAGGAUUAGAUACCCGGGUAGUC
This 465-nucleotide ribosomal RNA is filed under the name uncultured bacterium. RNAcentral describes it as "partial 16S ribosomal RNA". It matches the Rfam family "Bacterial small subunit ribosomal RNA", at positions 339 to 795 of the family's 1533-position model. The record is from RNAcentral.